UACGGAGGGAACUAGCGUUGUUCGGAUUUACUGGGCGUAAAGAGCGCGUAGGCGGUUUAUUAAGUUAGAAGUGAAAGCCCAGGGCUUAACCCUGGAACUGCUUCUAAAACUGAUAGACUAGAGUACGGGAGAGGAUAGUGGAAUUCCUAGUGUAGAGGUGAAAUUCUUAGAUAUUAGGAGGAACACCGGUGGCGAAAGCGACUAUCUGGAACGUUACUGACGCUGAGGCGCGAAAGCGUGGGGAGCAAACAGGAUUAGAUACCCCAGUAGU
Molecule: ribosomal RNA, 271 nt
Filed under: uncultured bacterium
Lineage: Bacteria
Description: partial 16S ribosomal RNA
Rfam family: Bacterial small subunit ribosomal RNA
Source: RNAcentral